Molecule: transfer RNA, 73 nt
Filed under: Sparassis crispa
Lineage: Eukaryota; Fungi; Basidiomycota; Agaricomycetes; Polyporales; Sparassidaceae
Description: tRNA-Cys
Rfam family: tRNA
About the family: Transfer RNA (tRNA) molecules are approximately 80 nucleotides in length.
Source: RNAcentral
GGGUUAAGUUUACAGAUGGUUCUGUAGUGGACUUGCAAAGUCUUUUUUUAGGGUUCAAUUCCUUCUUAACUCU